RNAcentral lists this ribosomal RNA (1358 nucleotides) under uncultured bacterium. Its description in RNAcentral is "bacterial SSU rRNA". It matches the Rfam family "Bacterial small subunit ribosomal RNA", at positions 28 to 1381 of the family's 1533-position model. The record is from RNAcentral.
GAUGAACGCUAGCUACAGGCUUAACACAUGCAAGUCGAGGGGCAGCAUGGUCUUAGCUUGCUAAGGCCGAUGGCGACCGGCGCACGGGUGAGUAACACGUAUCCAACCUGCCGUCUACUCUUGGACAGCCUUCUGAAAGGAAGAUUAAUACAAGAUGGCAUCAUGAGUCCGCAUGUUCACAUGAUUAAAGGUAUUCCGGUAGACGAUGGGGAUGCGUUCCAUUAGAUAGUAGGCGGGGUAACGGCCCACCUAGUCUUCGAUGGAUAGGGGUUCUGAGAGGAAGGUCCCCCACAUUGGAACUGAGACACGGUCCAAACUCCUACGGGAGGCAGCAGUGAGGAAUAUUGGUCAAUGGGCGAGAGCCUGAACCAGCCAAGUAGCGUGAAGGAUGACUGCCCUAUGGGUUGUAAACUUCUUUUAUAAAGGAAUAAAGUCGGGUAUGGAUACCCGUUUGCAUGUACUUUAUGAAUAAGGAUCGGCUAACUCCGUGCCAGCAGCCGCGGUAAUACGGAGGAUCCGAGCGUUAUCCGGAUUUAUUGGGUUUAAAGGGAGCGUAGAUGGAUGUUUAAGUCAGUUGUGAAAGUUUGCGGCUCAACCGUAAAAUUGCAGUUGAUACUGGAUAUCUUGAGUGCAGUUGAGGCAGGCGGAAUUCGUGGUGUAGCGGUGAAAUGCUUAGAUAUCACGAAGAACUCCGAUUGCGAAGGCAGCCUGCUAAGCUGCAACUGACAUUGAGGCUCGAAAGUGUGGGUAUCAAACAGGAUUAGAUACCCUGGUAGUCCACACGGUAAACGAUGAAUACUCGCUGUUUGCGAUAUACUGCAAGCGGCCAAGUGAAAGCGUUAAGUAUUCCACCUGGGGAGUACGCCGGCAACGGUGAAACUCAAAGGAAUUGACGGGGGCCCGCACAAGCGGAGGAACAUGUGGUUUAAUUCGAUGAUACGCGAGGAACCUUACCCGGGCUUAAAUUGCAGAUGAAUUACGGUGAAAGCCGUAAGCCGCAAGGCAUCUGUGAAGGUGCUGCAUGGUUGUCGUCAGCUCGUGCCGUGAGGUGUCGGCUUAAGUGCCAUAACGAGCGCAACCCUUGUUGUCAGUUACUAACAGGUUCCGCUGAGGACUCUGACAAGACUGCCAUCGUAAGAUGUGAGGAAGGUGGGGAUGACGUCAAAUCAGCACGGCCCUUACGUCCGGGGCUACACACGUGUUACAAUGGGGGGUACAGAGGGCCGCUACCACGCGAGUGGAUGCCAAUCCCCAAAACCUCUUUCAGUUCGGACUGGAGUCUGCAACCCGACUCCACGAAGCUGGAUUCGCUAGUAAUCGCGCAUCAGCCACGGCGCGGUGAAUACGUUCCCGGGCCU